CUUUUUUUUUAAAAUUUAUUUAUUUAUUUAUUUUUAUUGAUCAUUCUUGGGUGUUUCUCACAGAGGGGGAUUUGGCAGGGUCAUAGGACAAUAGUGGAGGGAGGGUCAGCAGAUAAACAAGUGAACAAAGGUCUCUGGUUUUCCUAUGCAGAGGACCCUGCGGCCUUCCGCAGUGUUUGUGUCCCUGGGUACUUGAGAUUAGGGAGUGGUGAUGACUCUUAACGAGCAUGCUGCCUUCAAGCAUCUGUUUAACAAAGCACAUCUUGCACCACCCUUAAUCCAUUUAACCCUGAGUGGACACAGCACAUGUUUCAGAGAGCACAGGGUUGGGGGUAAGGUCACCGAUCAACAGGAUCACAAGGCAGAAGAAUUUUUCUUAGUACAGAACAAAAUGAAAAGUCUCCCGUGUCUACCUCUUUCUACACACACAUGGCAACCAUCCGAUUUCUCAAUCCUUGCCCCGCCUUUCCCCCCUUUCUAUUCCACAAAACCGCCAUUGUCAUCAUGGCCCGUUCUCAAUGAGCUGUUGGGUACACCUCCCAGACGGGGUGGUGGCUGGGCAGAGGGGCUCCUCACUUCCCAGUAGGGGCGGCCGGGCAGAGGCGCCCCUCACCUCCCGGACGGGGCGGCUGGCCUGGCGGGGCUGACCCCCACCUCCCUCCCGGAUGGGGUGGCUGCCGGGCAGAGACGCUCCUCACUUCCCAGACGGGGUCACGGCCGGGUAGAGGCGCUCCUCACAUCCCAGACGGGGCGGCGGGGCAGAGGCGCUCCCCACAUCUCAGACGAUGGGCAGCCGGGCAGAGACGCUCCUCACUUCCUAGAUGGGAUGGCGGCCAGGCAGAGGCUGCAAUCUCGGCACUUUGGGAGGCCAAGGCAGGCGGCUGGGAGGUGGAGGUUGUAGCGAGCCGAGAUCACGCCACUGCACUCCAGCCUGGGCACCAUUGAGCACUGAGUGAACCAGACUCCGUCUGCAAUCCCGGCACCUCGGGAGGCCGGAGGCCGAGGCUGGCGGAUCACUCGCAGUUAGGAGCUGGAGACCAGCCCGGCCAACACAGCGAAACCCCGUCUCCACCAAAAAAAUACGAAAACCAGUCAGGCGUGGUGGCGCGCCUGCAAUCGCAGGCACUCGGCAGGCUGAGGCAGGAGAAUCAGGCAGGGAGGCUGCAGUGAGCCGAGAUGGCAGCAGUACAGUCCAGCUUCGGCUCGGCAUCAGUGGGAGACGGUGGAAAGAGAGGGAGAGGGAGACUGUGGGGAGAGGGAGAGGGAGAGGGGGGAGAGGGAGAGGGAGAGGGAGGAGCCAUAAUUCUUGUAUUUGGAAUCAGUCUAGUUCCCAAGAACUUCAGUUUGAUGCUCUUCAAGUUCUACCUUCACUAUAGGAUGUGGUUUUCAAGAUGAAAGUUACGACCCACCAAUGGGUUUUGAAAUAAAUUUAGUAGGCCACAACCAGUAUUUUUUUUAACAAAGGAAUCGAAUAGAAAAGAAAGUAUCAGGAUAUAUAACACAUGGCAAGGAUGAUAAUAUGUAAAACUUUGGUUUCAAAGACAAUAUGUGUGUCUAUUUAUAUAUCUAUUUCACACCAUAUAUGCUGACCUACACACCUACAUGUUUGUGUGUACUUGGUUAUGAUAAAAAUUCAUUAAAUGAUGGUAAAAAAAAGUUUGAAAAAACAAAUAAUUCAAUCUAAAAAUGAGAAAAGAAUCUCAAUAGACAUCUCUCAAAAGAAGGCCUACAAAUGGUCAACAAGAAUAUGAAAACAUGUUCAACAUCUCUAUUAGGGAAAUGUAAAUUAAAAUCACAUGAAAUAUCAUCCAACUCCCAUUAGAAUGGCUGCCAUCAGAAAAACAAAAUAACAACAGCAACAACAACAAAAAUCGAAUGUUGGUGAGGAUGUGGAGAAAAGGAAAUUCUUAUAUUACAUUCUUGGUAAGAAUGUAAAUUAGUACAGCCAUUAUAGAAAACAAUAUGGAGGUUUCUCAAAAACCUAAAAAUAUAACUACCAUAUGAUUCAGCAAUCCCACUACUUCCCCAAAGGGAAGGAAAUCAAUAUAUGGAAAAGACAUCUGCACUCCCAUGUUUAUUCCAGCACUAUUCACAAUAGCCAAGGUAUGGAGUCAACCUAAAUGUCCAUCAACAGAAGAAUGAAUAAAGAAAAUGUGGCAUGUAUACACAAUGGAGUACUAUUCAGCCAUAUAAAAGGAAUGAAAUUGGUUGGGGGGGCAUGGUGGCUUACGCCUGUAAUAGCAGCACUUUGGGAGGCCGAGGUGGGAGGAUCACCUGAGGUCAGGAGUUCAAGACCAACCUGACCAACGUGGAGAAACCCCAUCUCUACUAAAAAUACACAAUUAGCCAGGCGUGGUGGCACAUGCCUGUAAUCCCAGCUACUCGGGAGGCUGAGGCAGGAGAAUCACUUGAACCUGGGAGGCAGAGGUUGCGGUGAGCCGAGAUCACACCAUUGCACUCCAGCCUGGGCGACAAGAGCGAAACUCCGUCUCAGAAAAAAAAAAAGGAAUGAAAUCCUGAAUCCCGUCAUUUGUGACAACAUGGAUGAGCUUGGAGGACAUUAUGGUAAGUGAAAUAAACCAGGAACAGAAAAUAAAUACUGCAUGUUCUCUCUCAUACAUGAGAGCUAAAAAAAAGUUGGUGUCUAAGAAGCAGAGAGUAGACUAGUGGUUAUUAGAGGCUGGGAAGCAUAGUGGAGAGGUUGGUUAACAGACUUAACAGACACAAAAUUACAGAUAGAUAGGGGAAUAAGUUCUAAGUGUUCUAUAGAACUGUAGAGUGAAUAUAGUUAACAAUAUUUUAUUGUAUAUUUUUAAAAAUCUAGAAGAGAGGAUUUUGAACGUUCCCAACACAAAGAAAAGAUGAAUGUUUGCGGUAAUAGAUACGUCAAUUACCCUGAUUUGGUUAUUACGCAUUAUAUACAUGUAUUCAAAUAGUGCUCUGUAUCCCAUAACAUGUACAAUUAUUAUAUGUCAACUAAAAAUAAAAGAAAAAACAUUUGAAGGCUUGUGCUGUAUGUUUUGAGCCAUUCUAAUGCCUGAAUCACUUACAAAGAGAUGCAGAGCGUGAUGAAGCUAGUCUGUACUGGGAAAAGAAAUGGCUAGAGCCAAAAAAAGAAAGGGACUUAUGGAAGCAAACUCACAGUGGCUACUCUGCUCCCUACCAUUGCCUCUGACGAGUUGAGGUCCCCAGGAGGUCUCCUCAUACACAUCGUUCUUCCCUGAUUGCCUGUGAGAUAACUCUUUCCUUUCUUUCCUAUCUGUAUACACAGCAUGAGUUUCCAUAAGCUAAAUGGGACAUAACAUGAUUGAUUAACUAGGGGACAUGUGUAGACCCUCUUCUGACCCAUACAGAAGUAGAGUGUGUGGGCAGAGAGAAAGGCCUGUUGUGUAAGUGCCACAGCCUCUUUGUUGUGCUAAAAGCAAUGGAAAUGUCUAAGAAGUAUUGUGAUGGCCUAAGACGUCAUUCUUGAGCAAGAGCUAGAUGGAAUCACAUGCCAUAUUUUUACGUUUACAAUUUCAGUGUUCUAGCUAUAUACUUAAAACUAUAAACAAUGCUUUUGUUACAGAGAUUCCUGCAGUCCCCAUGCCCCUCUUUUUUUUGUUAACUGAAACAAAAGUAUGUAUAAUGCUGUUUUUGUUAAAGUAAGGUUGCCUGGGCACACCACCCUCACAUCAUUGCAGAACGCACUAAACUAGAGCCUGCCGUCGUUUGGGCCAACCCAACGGAAUUGCUCUCCCUUGUAAUCAUAAGGACCUAAAACUGAACAGGUAACAUACCCAACAUCUCAGAUUCAUUAUUUUUAAUGUAUUUUUUUUUGGUAGCUUUGGCAUGGGACAGUCACAUCAAAGGUGCUUGUUAUGACCUAAGCAAUCAUCAUCAAUAGCUGAUAACAUCCAAAGAGAGACACAACCAGACAUUAUGCACCUCCUGAUUAUAGUACAAAAGAAUGCAAACUAAGUCUGCACAACCUCCAGCUCUAAGUACCAAUGCCAAGGAAACACAGGAGAAAAGGAAACGUACUAAACCAUGUUAUUAUUGGAAUGCCAUUAACCAAAGCCAACAUGUGGGAGACUACCAGACAAGAAGAUUUAGUUCCUUUAACAGCAUCAACAACACAGCAAACAGGGAAAAAGAGGAUGGAGUUUUCAUGCCUCAGGGAUACUGAGGCAAAUAAACUGUCAGUAAAGAAAAGAGAGCAAGGUAGAAAGAGGCUAUUUAUAGGAGAAUCAGGAAAAUGUAAAUACUAAAUGAAUAUCUGAUACUAUUACAGAAUUAUUAAUAUUGGUUUUUAGGGAGCUGUGAUGAUUCUUAGGGAGGUGUCCUGAUGCUGCAUAGUUGCUUUUAAAAAGGGCACUCUUUGUCUUUUACAGAUCCACACUGAAACGUUUACUGAUGAAAUGCUCUCUAACAUCUGGGAUUUCCUUCAAAAUUAUCCGGGGCAGAGAGGGAGUGGGUACGGGCAGAGGAAAUAACAUAGGACAUAAGUUGAAAAUACUGAAGCUGAGUGAAGGGAGUUCAUUGUAAUACACUCCACACUUUGGUAUAUGUUUGAAAUUUUGCCUAAUAAAAAAAAUUCAGUGUCUAUUUUACAGAUGUAUUUGUCAUUUCAACAAACAUAUGUUGAAAUCAUGUUGCACAUUAGGGAUUGGAGACAUAUACACAAAUUAGCAUUCCGGCCAGACUGCUUAUCAUUACUUCUUAUUUCCUGUUUGUAAGAUGCCAUUCGUCUGGGCAAGGUAGCACAUGCUUGUAAUCCCAGAUUUUUGGGAGGCUGCAGUGGGACCAUCACUAGAGGUUAGCACUUGGAGACCAGCCUGGGCAACAUAGGGAGACAUCAUCUCUACAAAAAUAAAAGUAAAAAAAAUUAGCCAGGUGUGGUAUCAUGUGCCUAUAGACCCAGCUACUCAGGAGGAUGAGGUGGGAGGGUCCCUUGAGCCCAGGAGUUCAAGGCUGCAGUGAGCUAAGAAGAUGCCAGUGCGCUCCUCCCUGGGUGGCAGAGCGAGAACCUGUCUCUACAAAAUAAAAUAAAAUAAAAUGUCAUUUAUUUUAAGACACACAAUUAUAUUAAUUGCAGCUUUUGAAGUAUCCCGAAGGUCAAUGCUCACUUGGAGUGGGAGAGGGGAAAAAAAGCCCACCAUAUUAAAAUUAAACAUUGAUUUUGAGACACAUUCUAAUUUCAGACUAUCCAAACUAUAUAUCUUUAGAUCAAGGAAGAAUGGUGAUUCUUACUUUCUUUUGGCUCUAUGGUAAGUAUCUGGUUGUAAAGUCUGAGGGCAUCCUAAGGGAAAAUAUUGUGUCCAGUGUAACUGUGGUUUUGAUCCUAUAGUUUUUUCUUUCUUUUUUUUUUCUUCAGUGUGUCAGAAUCUAGCUAUCAAGUUGAAAUAGGUUAAUCUGAUCUUAUCACCAGCAGACGCAUCUCAGUCAUCUGGAAGAAAGUGCUGUUACAAGAAGUAACUCUGGGUAUGCGCUUCAGGAAUGCAGUUGUGGAAACCAUGUUUGCGGCUGCUUUAAACUGUUUCCCAGGAGUCAAGGAAAAUUCAACAAUCUGAGACCAAAAAGGUAUCUUCGGCACAGUCUUCCUUGGCACAGCCGUGGAGAACAGAGCCAGGGCUUUGAGUCAGAGGAAUUGGGUUGAAACCUGCCUGUAUUGGUUGCAACCUGGUGACCUUGGAUAUCCUUUUUAUUCUCUGAGCCUUAUAUACCCCCUGGAUAAAAUAUAUCUGAUGAAACCUGCUGUUGCAUGUUCUGGGAUUUAAAUGAAUAACACCGUACCUAAAGCAUUUGGUGCAGGGUUAGGACGUGUAGAAGCUUAAGUUGUUAUUCUUCUUCUUAACAUUUUCCUGGAACUCCGGUGAGGCUCCCCGAGCAUGGGACUUUUUAGCUCCGUCUGACGACUGAUCCCUGCAGUUAACUGAUCAUUCUACAAAGCCACCAUUUGCUGAAUCCAUUGCCAAAGAAUCGAUACAGGUGAUAUCUCAGCCCAAGCUGCUAUAUCAAAAUACUAUUGACUGAGUGGCUUAAGCCACAGACAUUUAUUUCUUACAGUUGUGGAGGCUGGGAAGCCCAAGAUGAAAGUGCUGGCAGAUCCUGUGUCUAGUGAGGGCUGUCUUCCUGGUUGGCAGAUAGCCGUCUUCUUGCUGUAUCCUCGCAUGGUGGAGAGAGAGAUCUCAUGUUUCUCCAUUUCUUUAAUGAGGGCAUUCAGCCCAUCAUGAGGGCCCCACCCUCACCCUCAUGACUUAAUCUAACCCAGCCCCUACCUCCAAGUACCAUGAGGGUUAGGGUUUCAGCAUAUAAAUUGAGGGGAGGAAGACACAAACACUUAGUCUAUAGCAGGUGAAUUGGCUGCUUCCAUCCUGGCUUGGAACUUCAGACAUAGAAGCCUUGGGACUUUCUCAGGACUUUCUCCAGAUCUGACUCAUGCUCAGCAAACAAGCAUCUCUGUGGAUCACGUGACCUUAGCCAGGGAUGUUGGUGAAACUGUGUGUUGGUCUAGGUACCUAGCCCAUGCUAGGUGCUCAUCGAAUAGCUUUAGUGGGUGACUGUGACUGAAGAGGCAUCCUGGGCUGUGCUUUCACACCACCAGUGCCAAUGCUAUGCAUUUGCUCUUUUUCUAGCAUUUUUUUUUUUUUUUUUUUUUGAGAUGGAAUCUUGCUCUGUCUCCCAGGCUGGAGUGCAGUGGCAUGAUCUUGGCUCACUGCAACCUCUGCCUCCCAGGUUCAAGCAAUUCUCCUGCCUCAGUCUCCCAAGUAGCUGGGAUUACAGAUGUGCACUACCAUGCCCUACUGAUUUUUGUAUUUUUAGUAGAGACGGGGUUUCACCGUGUUGGCCAGGCUGGUCUUGAACUCCCGACCUUAGGUGAUCCACCCACCUCGGCCUCCCAAAGUGCUGGGAUUACAGGCAUGAGCCACCGUGCCUGGCCUUUAGGAUGUUUAUAUGCUCUCUAUGCACCAUGAUAUUUGCGCCCUGGCGGAGCAGUCUCAGUUCCACUUCUGAGCUGGGAUGAGUAUUUAGCUCCUUCCCCAUCUGAUGCGAACUAGGCAACACUACAGAGCCAGAGGCAGAAAACAGGAGGGCUUCUCACCUGUCCUUGUCCAUGAAUAGCCAGUGCUCUGCUGAGGACUCCAGGAACCCACUCUUCAUGAUCAGCCUCAAUUGGCAGUGGCCAUCUCCUCUGGCAGCAAGCACAAGUGGACUUCUCUUCCUGCCCACAUCUGCUAGAUGAGGGUGACCCUCUGGAGAGAGGCUGGGAGAAGCUAGCCAGCCUGUAACCAGUGGGCUAGUGUGUGUACAUAUUGUAUGCAUGCUGGGGGACAGAAGAGGGUGUGGGGAAGGGCAACUUGCUUUCCCCAGGUGAAGGAGUAAGGAAAUGUUUCCUUCCCAACCUUCUUUCUAGACCAGCUAAUACUCCAGUUUCACCCUUUGGGCAAGUCAUUUAUCUGUCUGAGCCUGAACUUCCUCAUGUAUAUGAAAGAUGGAGAAGACCAUUGUAGAAAUUCAUGUUAUUAGUAUUCCAAGCAAAAGAGCUAAAGGUUGGUCUCUCAAAUUCCUACCCCUUUGAAGACCGAUGGAUAAGAUUCUUUAAGUUUGCUGCAGGUGAUUAACUAUGCAAGGGCUAAAGACAGCAGAACUCUUGCCAAAGUAGCGUGCCACGGUAAUUCUGCCAUGACCUAUGUAAGCAGAAAUGGGUGGAUAAAUAGUUGCAGACUAUCUACAGAUUUCCGUCUUCCAAGUCUUCCAGGCAGAGGCUACAAAAUAAAAUACCCUUAAGAGCCAGGCAGGUAAUGAGAAUGAGUGGUGCAUGCCGGGGGUUUGCAUAGUAAAUAUUAGCACUAUUCCUUGCUUCCACAAAGGCGCUUUCUGCACUUGCUGGUAAAACACACAGUCCUCUGGGUAUAUGUUUUGUUUUCUCACAUUUUGUAGAUUCAUGAGCACAGAGAAAUAUUUCUGCACUACAAGCAAAACACUAAAAUAUAGGCUGAAGUAGCAACAGUGGAAGGAGCCCUGGAGAAUUGGGAAGCAUGUACUCUACCCAAAGAGGACCUAAGCUGUGCAACUCCAGCUCACCGUUCAGGGAGGGGAGUAAUGUGGGCCCAGUGUAGCCAGAACCUCUACUUCUUUAUUUAAAAGAAGCUGGAAAUCCAGAUUUUUAAAAACGUAGAGUCUCCUGCUUUUGCUGUUUUUCUUUUUCUUCUUUUUCCCUUUUAAUGGUGCACAUGUAUUUUUUAAAACUUUGUGCACACGAAAUAAAACCCACCUCCUGGUGGCCUGUCUGCCUCUUACCUUCCACAUACCACACUGAAUUUUGAAGGGUUCUCGCUGAAUUGCUCCAAAUCUGACAUUCUGGGUAACCCUCCUCAUGCAGCUGGGAGCCUUUGGAAUCUUCACAACCAGGAGGGCUGUGUCUUUGACCUUGAUUUAGGCCUUGUGUCUUCAGGGCAUGCCAAGGGGCCGGUGCAGGCUGGACAGAGGUGUGAUCUCCUUUUCUCAGCAUAAUUUCCUUCCUGGGGUCUUCAUAUCGCCCUGAGGCAGGAGCUGGGGUGCUGGCUCCUUCUGAAGGUCGCUUUUCUGGCCUUUGCCUGGGUGGAGAUUAGAGAAGAAAGGUGAUCCUGGAAACCUGACCAGCUUCCCGAGAGAGAUGAUAGGAGAAUAGCGCUGGGUGAGCCAUUGAGACAUCUGGGCCAAGUCCUUCAUUUUACAGACAAACAAGCUGAGAUGCAGGAAGCCACAGCAUCUUAUCUGGGUCCCCAGUUCAUCAGCAACAGCUAAGGGGUGAGAUCCCAUGUUUCCCACCCCACCACCCGAUGCUUCAUCCACUGUGCUUUUUGGCCUCUGCCUCCACCAAGUACACUCAGCCCCUCCCAGCCAUCUCUGGAGUUUAGUUGGGAUUUGAACUGACUGAAUGAUGGGACUUUAGUACUAAGCCUGGGGACCUAGGCAAGGCCAGAGGAAAAGCUGACGAAGGGAGAGGAAGAAUCAGAAACACUCAUUUUCCUCUGGCUGUGAGCAGAAUUCACCUGAGAUGCACCCGGAAACGGGUCUGUUGCUUAUUUUGUCACCAGGGUCUGGGGUUGCCCAUGUCCACAGAGCCUAUCAGGUCAUGAGGGACAGACCUAGCAGUAGCAUUUCCAUGGCUCUCUACCAAUUUUCACUGGUCCGUUGCUUGAUAUUCAAAUGAGCACCUUUCUCACUGCCAGUGAAGGGGCUGCUCCCCUGUGGAAGGUAUCCUGACAGGGAAAGCUUGGCUUAAAGAAUUGCUUGUCCUGUGAUUUCUGACCUAUGAUUUGCUAUUUAAUCCUAAGUAGCUAUUUUUUUAAUCAAAAGUUUCAAGUUUCUCCCAAC
This 9342-nucleotide long non-coding RNA is filed under the name Homo sapiens (human). RNAcentral's name for it is "HSALNT0313702". Lineage: Eukaryota; Metazoa; Chordata; Mammalia; Primates; Hominidae. The record is from RNAcentral.